Molecule: ribosomal RNA, 166 nt
Filed under: Senecio macranthus
Lineage: Eukaryota; Viridiplantae; Streptophyta; Magnoliopsida; Asterales; Asteraceae
Description: 5.8S ribosomal RNA
Rfam family: 5.8S ribosomal RNA
About the family: 5.8S ribosomal RNA (5.8S rRNA) is a component of the large subunit of the eukaryotic ribosome. It is transcribed by RNA polymerase I as part of the 45S precursor that also contains 18S and 28S rRNA.
Source: RNAcentral
CGUAAACGACUCUCGGCAACGGAUAUCUCGGCUCACGCAUCGAUGAAGAACGUAGCAAAAUGCGAUACUUGGUGUGAAUUGCAGAAUCCCGUGAACCAUCGAGUUUUUGAACGCAAGUUGCGCCCGAAGCCUUUUGGAUGAGGGCACGUCUGCCUGGGCGUCACAU